Molecule: ribosomal RNA, 253 nt
Filed under: uncultured bacterium
Lineage: Bacteria
Description: partial 16S ribosomal RNA
Rfam family: Bacterial small subunit ribosomal RNA
Source: RNAcentral
UACAGAGGGGGCAAGCGUUAUUCGGAAUUAUUGGGCGUAAAGGGCGCGUAGGCGGCUUGGCAAGUGGAUGGUGAAAUCCCUCGGCUUAACCGAGGAACUGCCGUCCAAACUGCUUCGCUUGAGACCGGGAGAGGUGAGUGGAAUUCCCAGUGUAGCGGUGAAAUGCGUAGAUAUUGGGAGGAACACCAGUGGCGAAGGCGGCUCACUGGACCGGUACUGACGCUGAGACACGAAAGCGUGGGCAGCAAACAGG